GGAGGCUGCUGAAGGGGAGAAAGGAGUGAGGAGCUGCUGGGCAGAGAGGGACUGUCCGGCUCCCAGAUGCUGGGCCUCCUGGGGAGCACAGCCCUCGUGGGAUGGAUCACAGGUGCUGCUGUGGCGGUCCUGCUGCUGCUGCUGCUGCUGGCCACCUGCCUUUUCCACGGACGGCAGGACUGUGACGUGGAGAGGAACCGUACAGCUGCAGGGGGAAACCGAGUCCGCCGGGCCCAGCCUUGGCCCUUCCGGCGGCGGGGCCACCUGGGAAUCUUUCACCAUCACCGUCAUCCUGGCCACGUAUCUCAUGUGCCGAAUGUGGGCCUCCACCACCACCACCACCCCCGCCACACCCCUCACCACCUCCACCACCACCACCACCCCCACCGCCACCAUCCCCGCCACGCUCGCUGAGGCUGCUGUCGCCGGUGCCUGUGGACAGCAGCUGCCCCUGCCCUCCCAUCUGUUCCCAGGACAAGUGGACCCCAUGUUUCCAUGUGGAAGGAUGCAUCUCUGGGGUGAACGAGGGGAACAAUAGACUGGGGCUUGCUCCAGCUGCAUUUGCAUGGCAUGCCCCAGUGUACUAUGGCAGCAGAGAAUGGAGGAACACUGGGUCUGCAGUGCUGAAGGGUUUGGGGAGUGGAGAGCAAGGGUGCUCUUUCGGGGCUGGACAGCCCGUCUUGUGACAGUGACUCCCAGUGAGCCCCAGAAAUGACAAGCGUGUCUUGGCAGAGCCAGCACACAAGUGGAUGUGAAGUGCCCGUCUUGACCUCCUCAUCAGGCUGCUGCAGGCCUCUGGCGGGCAGGGCACUGGGAGAGGCCCUGAGAAUGUCCUUUUGGUUUGGAGAAGGCAGUGUGAGGCUGCACAGUCAAUUCAUCGGUGCCUUAGUCCAAGAAAAUAAAAACCACUAAGAAGCUUUUGUGAAGAGGCUCUUGAUUGCAGCAUAGUGGGAGGGAGGGAGCUGCCUGGCCUGUGUCCUCAUUGCCCUGGGACCUCCCUCUCUGAUGGGAAGCGUGUGGCUGGAGCAGGCGAAGGUUGGAGCCGCUGCGAGCCUGGCUCCCCAGGGCUCUGCCCCUGUACUUUUUUCAGCCCAUGUCCAGGGCAGACUGAGCUCUGAAACUCGAGGAAGCCCCAUCCACAGGCUGCCUUGAAUCCAGUUUCCUUGGUAAUUGGAUCAGGGUUUCUUCUCCAAGCCUUGCGUUUUCAGCCAUCCUGCCCCAGCUGGUGCCUGUGUGUGGUGGGAGGGCUGGGAGGCAGCGAGUGGAGUUCUUUAAAGUGGAGGCUGUGGUGCUGGGGUGCAGGGUGUUGGAUGGCCUUGGGAGAAUGCUGGGGUCUCACUUUCCUCUUCUCUGCAAUGGGGUGGAUAACAGAGAUGCCCACGUGCCGAAGCCUGGAGGCUCGUUGGAAUAUGCUCUGUGAACAGCUAGUGGGAUCCACAGCGAGGAAGGAAGCCUGGCUCUGAGGCCUUCAGCCUGUGCCUGUGAGCUGAGGUGGGAAUUGGGGGAAGACAAGGACUGGGGGCCAGGAGAGGCAGUGGGGAGGGGCUGGAGAGCAGGCCAGAGACUCAGGGACCUGGUGACUCACUGGAAUAGAAUGUCCUCUUUCCUUUCUAUUUCCCAGUGGAUUCUCUGUGAGGGCUGCAGGAGGAGGGAGUGAGAGAGAGAGGGAGGCAAAUUCACACUGAUUUCUCCCACCUGAGGUUUCUGGGUUGGGAAAGUUGACCCUAGGCUGCCGUGCAGUGUCGAUUUUCUCUGCAGUGUCCUUCAAAUCCACCCCCUUCUCCAUUCCCAUGCCCUGCCUAGCCCAGCCCCCUCCAUCCCCCUCCUGGAUUCCUGCCAGCCUGCUCCCUGCAGCCCUGCCCCUUUCCCAGGCAUCUCCAGGCUGAUUUCACAGAUGAAUCAAAGAUGGGGAGGAGGUUCCCCGAAAGCAGGAAACGGAAAAGGAAGCCUAUGCAGGGCAGGAGAGAACCCGCUGAGCAAUUGCCCUUUAUUCCAGUUCAAAAAUGCGGAACCACUCAGACAAUCUGCAGGCGGCCUAUGGCUGCGUGUACACAGGAAGAAUAGGCGAUGAGAAAUCAAAGGAACAAAUGUUAAAGCUUGAGGCAUAGUCUCCUGGUGCCCUCUAUCACCCCAGUUAAGGAGGUGAUGUUGGUAACUCAACCUGAAACCACAGGCCCUGCAGAUCAGCCCGUCGUCUCCUUCCUCCUGGUCAUCCCAGUUAAUACAAACAAUCCAAGGAAUUGGCUUCCUGUCAUGGCCCACAGCCUGCUCCAUGUGGAGGAGGAGCCCAGGGCCCAGAUGGUCUCAUCAUCUCAGAAAAGGGACAGAUUGAGAAUAUGACAGGCUAUCGUUUGCUCUGAAAAGUUGCUCUCCCAUUCUGUGCAAAGUGCCAGUUUCCUAAUGCUGAUACUAAAGAAAGUUCCCUUGGGCCUUGGAGAAACUGAAAAGGACCCAGGCUAUGUGAACUUGGGCCAGCCCUCUGCCCUUUCUGGCACUUUGCACCCAGAUCAUUAAAACCGCAGAAUCAGAUGGUCGCUCUGUGGUCCCAUGGUAACUGGAAAGUGCACUGAGCUAGGAGUGGAGGGAGGGCGGUCCCUCCUCGGCCAUUGCUCGUGCCUGUUAACAUGGCUAAUUCAGAAUGGGGGGCAGGUCAUUUAACUUCUAUGACCAUAGGAUCUUUUUCUAUAAAAUGGAGGCUAUAUCGCUAUGCAGGGUUGCUGGGGAGGUUAUAUGAGAUCAUGUCUGGUGAGGUCCCAUGCCUGGAGUUAUUGUUCUCACUACUCUGUUUCCCAGAAUAUGGACAAAGUGGGGCUAAUAGCCCAGUCUCCUUUCUGGAAGUGGUGGGGGUCUCAGGAGGUGCUGGGUGUGAAAGGGCUCUCACCUGGCAGACUAACUCAGUUGCCUGGGCCUAGCUUAUUCCCCUGACCUCCUGGCAGGGAGGAGGGUGGAAAAGGCCUGGGGUGCGCAUGGCGGGACGGGAUAACUGCUGAGCGGGGGUUGGAGGGCUGCAGUGUGGGUCCUGGGCCCUCGCUCACAAUUGGAGGAAAGAAUUCAGGAAGUGCUCACAGCUGCUCAGACAUCUCGGAGCCAAGUUCCAACCAGGACAGAGGCUGCAGCACCCAGGGAGGAACGCCGUGGUCCCUGGGACGGCCACCAGGCCAGGAGGCUGCAGCACCAGGUACAGCCAGGGCUGGCCUUUGGGGAGCCCAGGGUAAAUCUUAAUAGUUCAAGAAUGUGAGCAACGGGCUAAGCAGGCAGCAAAGAGGGUGGGUGAGGCCGGCAUCUAAGAAGGCUCUUCCGGGACCUCCGGGUAAAGAGCCCCACGGUCAUGGACAGGGCAGGGAUUCCCGGGGAAGCACCUGAUACUCUAUCUAAACUGCAUGAUCCCAGCGCCAUGCAGAAAAGGACGCCAAAUGCAACCUGCCCCUGCCUCCAGCCCCCACUAAAGGCCCUGGCACCUGGGGUGACCCGUGAGUGUCCCCUGCCUUGCCCAGAGCUGGCGCAUGCCUUCCUCCCUCCUCAUGUCCCUGCCCCCAGCACAGGGCCAGGGGCUGGGGAGGCAGCAGAUAGGCCAAUUGAAGGACUGGCCCAAGGUCCCUCCUGGGGAGGAGCCGGGCUCCUCCUGCAUCCAUAGUAGGGGGAGUAUUUUGUCUUUGGUCUGGGCGUAACUUGCUCUUGAAAUCUGUAGGCGUCACCGGAGGGCCAGCGCUGGCUAGGCUGUCUCUGUGCAACGUCUUCUGACCCCUCCUCUCCACCUUCUCUGUGUCCAGGGAAUCUGUGCUCACGUCUUCCAGGACAGUGCUUCUUCUAGAAGCUGACAUGGAGCUGACCACAGCUCUUGGAGGCAUGGCCUGAGGCUUAGAAAAUAGACAGAGAUCAUCUGAGAUUUCAGCAGUGGGGCCACGUGGCAGCGCCCGAAGGCCUGGAGCAGGAGCGACCCAGGGACUCAGAGCAGCAUCUUCUUAGGAGACGGAAGGAGAGCCGCCGGAGGAGCACGGGGCACCUGCGAUCGCGAAGAGCCUCCUGUUCUGGAUGGGAGCGAAGGCUCCGAGAGGACCUAAGGUUGCUCAGUGGGCCAUGGAAACGGCAGUGAUUGGGGUGGUGGUGGUGCUGUUCGUGGUGACUGUGGCCAUCACCUGCGUCCUCUGCUGCUUCAGCUGUGACUCAAGGGCCCAGGAUCCUCAGGGGGGUCCUGGCCGCAGCUUCACGGUGGCCACGUUUCGCCAGGAAGCUUCUCUCUUCACGGGGCCUGUUCGCCAUGCCCAGCCAGUGCCAAGUGCCCAGGACUUCUGGACCUUCAUGUGACGCCCGAGUCCCCAGGAUUUGCUGUGCUGAUGGGUCAGACUCACCCGCUCCUCAGCAAGCCUUCCCUGGCCUUCCCCUCCUCCCAGGGCCUUCUCCCUGUCCUUCCCCUCCAGUAACCUGUGAACUUCCCGUCUCCUCCCAUUCCAGCCUUCUGUGCCCUCCAGCCUCAGGGAUCCUUGUUAUUGGGACAGCCCAGCUGGGGUUGACCCACAGGAUGGGGCUUAGGAGAGCUCUGAGGAGUGAGUGAACAGACAGCGCCGGAGUGCACGGUGGGCCGGCUCUGCUGAUCUACACCAGGAACUGAAAUAUCACUGGAAUUUAUUGUAAACGGUGUGCCUAUGAUGCUGGUUCUGUUGCCACCUGGGCACGCAGCACCCUCAAGUGGACAUUUCUAGAAACCGCUUCUUACUUGCUCCUAAUUGAUUACUUUUGCACAUUGCACAGAACCCAACCUCGAGGCCUGCUCCCUGCCAGUUGCCUGAAAUCAGCCCUGAAAUUCUGAAACCAAAGAGCUGCUUCCUGAGAACAAGUUAUUUACCUUAGAAUUGAAAAUGUAUAUCCUUUUAUGGGCCUUUCCAAAUCUGAUUAGAAAAACCACAAAAGGAAACAGAAGAGAAAAUAAGAGCCACAGAAAGUACAAUAUGUUUUAUUAACAGGAAAGCCAGAAAUAAGAUAUUUUAAACAUAUUUUUAAUGAGACUUUAUUGCUAUAUUCCAACAGGUCACUCCUAUUCUUAGAGAAUGUGAAUGACUUGUGUCACUUCGGAGUGACAGAAAAAUCAGGAACUGAAAGAUAAUUCCAGACAAGUUAAAAUGUUAUGUUACAUUCAAAGCUCUUGUUUUCAUCACAAAUAAGGGGAUAUUCAGUUUUUAUUAACAGAAAACCCAUUCUCCCAUGGCCAUGGAAUAAAUGCCAUGCUAUAUUUAAGGAGUUUGGUUUGAAGGGUGCAAAAUUGUGAGCCUCCUGGCUCUUAUGUCUGUAUCCAGCCCUGAAUAGAUGGCUCUCCCAGGACCUGUUUGUUGAGGGGGGCAGGACUGAGCUUUAGGGGGGCUCUGGCCUCUAAGGGUGUCCAGACAGGCUGCCCUUGCCAUGUGGCUGCCAUGGGAAGGGCUUUCAGAGUGGCUUGGAGCUGGAGAGGUGCACGCGGGGAGGGGGAAGUGGUGGGGAGAGUGAGGCUGACGGAGAGGGAUGGGGAGGAGCAUGGUGGGCGAGGCUCAGCCCAGGUCCAGGAGCUCCUGGGACCAUGUCCUGGACACUCCUGACACCAGCCCUCGACGCAGGGCCUUCAGAGAUGCACAGAGAAGGGAACGGCACAUGUGGGGAGGCCCUGGAGACGGAGGGAAGAGAACUUUUGAGGGCUGUGUUCUCUAAAAGCGAACAGUGAGACAAAGUUCGGGUGCAAGAUAUUUGUCAGGGAUCAACACCUACAAAGGGGAGAAGGAAGAAGCAGGAUUGGGCAGAGGAAGAAGUCAAACCGUGAUGCAGGUCCUUCAUAUCCCCACCUUUGCUCCGUCUCUGAGUCCCUCUCCCCUCUCCCAGGGUCUGACCUCAGCCAGGGCAGCUCUCUGCAGCUGAGGCAGGUCUUGAAGCCCUUCCUAUUUUAUUAUUUUUAUUUUAUUUUAUUUUAUUUUAUUUUAUUUUAGGAGAUGGGAUCUCACUCUGCCACCUGGGCCAGAGUGCAGUCGUGUGAUCAUAGGUCACUGCAGCCUCAAAUUCCAGGGCUCAGUCAAUCCUCCCACCUCCGCCUCCUGAGUGGCUGGGACUAUAGGUGCAUGCCACCGUGCCUAGCUAAUUAAAAAAUCCUUUUCUUGUAGAGAUGGGAUUUCACUAUGUUUCCAAACCUGGUCUUGAACUCUCCUGGCCUCAAGUGAUCCUCCCACCUUGGCCUCCCAAAAUGUUGGGAUUACAGGUGUGAGCCAUUGCAUUUGGCUGAAGUCCUUCCUUUGAAGGGGACCUGGGCAGCACAUCUCCACAGAAACUCUGUAGGGUCCUGUUCUUGGAAGAGCCUAGACUGGUCAGAGGUGGGUGAAUAUGUCCAGACACAAAGAAAAACCUGGGCACAGGAGAUCUAUGAGAGGAGAGACGGCCGUGCAGGAUCUGGAAGGGAGAAGAGUGGGCCUCAGUCUCCCUCUCUCCUCAGCCAGAGUCAGCUCUGCUCCAGCUCAGGCACCCUUCACCAGGAGCCAGGCCCAGGGCUCUGCUCUUGUACUGUGUGGUCACAGCACUCACUAGGUCAGUCCGGGAGGGUCUGCAGGCUGGAAUCACAGGGCCGUGAAAACAAAGUGCUGGUGAAGCGGGCAUGGGGAGGGAGCCUGGCCUCCCUCUGCAGGAGACAGGCUGUCUGCCAAGCCCGGCACGCUCUUCAUUUGUUCACCUGCCCAUCUGCCCAUCCAUCCACCCACCCAUCCAUCUACUCCUGGAGUAGAUGCCGCCUCACUUACCCAUGCAUUCAUUCACUUAUUCAUUCACUCCUCCGUUCAGUAAACACUGACUGGGCACUGACUGUGUACCCAGCCCGGCCAAGGGAACGUGGGGGUCAACUGGACAUUUGGAUCCCGUGGACUCCUAGAUAAGGCUGUAUGUGUGUGGUGUGUUUUAUGUGGGUAUGAUGAGUAUGUGGUGUGUGUGUAAGCUGUAUAUGUGUAGUGAGUGUGUGUGGUGUGUGUUUUUGUAUUCUGUGAUGUGUGUGUAAGCUGUAUGUGUGUAGUGAGUGUGUGUGUUUUUGUUUGCUGUGGUGUGUGUGUAAGCUGUAUGUGUGUAGUGAGUGUGUGUGUUUUUGUUUGCUGUGAUGUGUGUGUAAGCUGUAUGUGUGUAGUGAGUGUGUGUGUUUUUGUUUGCUGUGGUGUGUGUGUAAGCUGUAUGUGUGUAGUGAGUGUGUGUGUUUUUGUUUGCUGUGGUGUGUGUGUAAGCUGUAUGUGUGUAGUGUGUAUUUUUUUAUGCUGUGGUGUGUGUGUAAGCUGUAUGUGUGUAGUGUGUGUGUUUUUGUAUGCUGUAGUGUGUGUGUAAGUUGUAUGUGUGUAGUGAGUGUGUGUGUUUUUGUUUGCUGUGGUGUGUGUGUAAGCUGUAUGUGUGUAGUGUGUGUGUUUUUGUAUGCUGUGGUGUGUGUGUAAGCUGUAUGUGUGUAGUGUGUGUGUUUUUGUAUGCUGUAGUGUGUGUGUAAGUUGUAUGUGUGUAGUGUGUGUGUUUUUGUAUGCUGUGGUGUGUGUGUAAGCUGUAUGUGUGUAGUGUGUGUGUUUUUGUAUGCUGUGGUGUGUGUGUAAGCUGUAUGUGUGUAGUGUGUGUGUUUUUGUAUGCUGUAGUGUGUGUGUAAGUUGUAUGUGUGUAGUGAGUGUGUGUGUUUUUGUUUGCUGUGGUGUGUGUGUAAGUUGUAUGUGUGUAGUGAGUGUGUGUUUUUGUAUGCUGUAGUGUGUGUGUAAGCUGUAUGUGUGUAGUGAGUGUGUGUGUUUUUGUAUGCUGUAGUGUGUGUGUAAGCUGUAUGUGUGUAGUGAGUGUGUGUGUUUUUGUUUGCUGUGGUGUGUGUGUAAGUUGUAUGUGUGUGGUGAGUGUGUGUGUUUUUGUAUGCUGUGGUGUGUGUGUAAGUUGUAUGUGUGUAGUGUGUGUUUUUGUAUUCUGUGAUGUGUGUGUAAGCUGUAUGUGUGUAGUGAGUGUGUGUGUUUUUGUAUGCUGUGGUGUGUGUGUAAGUUGUAUGUGUGUAGUGAGUGUGUGUGUUUUUGUAUGCUGUAGUGUGUGUUGGCCCCAGGUACCCCUGCCAUUCUCCGCAGUGUAGCCUGCUGUAUAAGAAGCAGGAGGGGCCCAGCAACAGGGCAGCGGAAGCCUCUUGCUAUGACGGUGGCCUCUUCCUAUUGUCCCCAAGGGCAGGAGGUGGCUGUGCAGGGACAAGACUGAGGCUGGCGCCAACAUGCAGCAAAGCCGGGAGUGCUUAUCUGGUGGUAGUGAGGGAAGCGGCUGUGCAAGGUCACCCUGGAAUCUGGGGUGGAGCCACACUCAGGCCUCCCAGCUUCCAAACCGAGCAUUCUCAAUUCUACUUCUCUUGCUGGUUCCAUUUACUUGCCUUUUUUUUUUUUGGAGACGGAGUCUUGCUCUGUCGUCCAGGCUAGAGUGCAGUGGCAUGAUCUUGGCUCACUACAAGCUCUGCCCCUGGGGUUCAUGCCAUUCUCCUGCCUCAGCUCCACAGGAGCCCGCCACCAUGCCCUGCUAAUUUUUUUGUAUUUUUAGUAGAGACGGGGUUUCACCGUGUUAGCCGGGAUGGUCUCCAUCUCCUGACCUCGUGAUCGCCUGCUUCAGCCUCCCAAAGUGCUGGGAUUACAGGCGUGAGCUACCGCGCCCAGCCCAUUUACUGGACUUUUAUGACACACCAGGCACAUUGUGCUUCCUCUGUGUCCUCUCAUGAGUGUAUACAGCAACUCCAUCACCUCCAUUUUACAGAUGAGGGAACCGAGCCCCCAUGCUUUGAGCCACUUUGGGCAAAUACCAAAUCUGCAGAACAGUGCUAAGUAGUCAUUUUCCUCCAUAAGUGAUAUCUGCAUCCAGCCAAUUCUCAGGGACACAGUUCAUAUCUUCAGGAGGAAGGGAGCCAGGGGAUCUGAUUUGCUCCAGGUUCACCUGAGCAAAAGCCUUGCUGGCACCUACCCAUCUGCACCUUUUUUUUUUUUUUUUUUUUUUGAGGCAGAGUCUGGAUCUGUCGCCCAGGCUGGAAUGCAAUGGCACGAUCUCAUCUCACUGCAACGUCCGCCUCCUGGGUUCAAGCAAUUCUCAUGCCUCAGCCUCCCGAGUAGCUGGGAUUAAAGGUGCACACGACCACCCCUGGCUAAUUUUUGUAGUUUUUGCAGAGAUGGGGUUUCACCACGUUGGCCAGGCUGGUGUCAAACUCCUGGCCUGAAGUGAUCCACUGGCCUCGGCCUCCCAAAAUGCUGGGAUUACAGGUGUGAGCCACCACUCCCGGCCCCAUCUGCAUCUUUGACUUGAAGAAGAAGCAGGUCUUUGCCCUGUACAGUUUUAAUUGACAGUCCAGGAAGCCUCCCUCAUAGAGUAAACUUCUGUGGACGGCUGGAAUUAAGGGUUAACAGACAUCAGUCCUGACCCAGCCUGCUUAAGGCCUUCCUAAGGCUUUGCACCUGCAGAGAUACAGGCCGUGCCUCUCUGAGCAAUGAGUCUUGCUUCUCCUUCACUUCCUGGGGCUUCUCUCAGCUCCACAUGGGGCAAAGAGCAGGGAGAACCCUGCUCAGUUCUGUCUAGCCCGACUGGGACGUGGAAAGGCUAAUCCGAGCCCCACUUCUGCCACUCAGUUGCUGGGCCUCAGUUUCCCUGGCUGUACGGAGAAGGUAAGAAUCCCAUCCCGGCUUGUCUAGAGGACGUGUUAGAGUGAAGAUCCUGGGAACCCAGCUGUCAGGAACGGUCAAGGGAAAGAGGCCCGCCCCGCUCUGCCUGCCCUCCUCCCCACCACCUCCAACCCUCGCCCUGCUCUUUCUCCGCAUUCCUGGACCUGAAACCAGGGUGGCGUUUCUCGCUGGGACAGGCUGGAUUCUGGAAUCUAGGAGGCCUUGAAAUAACAUGUUUUCCGGAAAAGUACCUUCCUUAAAGGAAACUGCUUGUUCCAGGGAGUAGAAAAGGAUCAUUGUACCUUGCCAGGUCCCCAUUCCCCUGAGGACAUGACAUUUGAAAAGGCAGACUCAGUUGGAGACAGAGACCUGCACCCCCUGCCCUGUGCCUCCAUCCAGCAUAUUCGUAAUAGUGAAAAGUUAGAAACCACCUCGACACCAGCAGGAGGGGGCUGGGCUGGCAAAUUGCAACACAGCCACAGAAUCAAAUGCUAGGCAGGUGUUAACGACAAUGAGGUAAAUUUAAACUCAUUAACCUGAAAGGGCAUUUAUCAUGUGUUGGUAAAUUAAAAGGGAAUUAGAGGACUAUAAAUGUAGCUGCACCCUUAGACGCAUAGAAGACGAUGUGGAGAGCUGUAUGCCGAGGUGUUGAUAGGCCAUUGUCUCUGGGUGGGUGGGACUGUUUGUGCAUUUUAUUUUUUAUUUACUUACUUUUUUUUUUUUUUGAGAUAGAACUUUGCUCUCUUUGCCCAGGCUGGAGUGCAGUGGCACGAUCUCGGCUCACUGCAUCCUCUGCCUCCUGGGUUCAAGUGAUUCUCCUGCCUCAGCCUCCCAAGUAGCUGGGACUACAGGCAGGCGCUACCACACUUGGCUAAUUUUGUAUUUUUAGUAGAGACAGGGUUUAACCAUGUUGGCCAGGCUGGUCUUGAACUCCUGACCUCAGGUGAUCUGCCCACCUCGGCCUCCCAAAGUGCUGAGAUUACAGGCGUGAGCCACUGCGCCUUGCCUAUUUGUGCAUUUUAAAUGUUUUCCCUUUGUGUUUAUCUGAAUUUCUCAUAAUGAAUGAUUUGCUCUUGAAUAAGAAAGAGCAAGAACCUAACAAAGGAACAAAAGUUAUUUUAAAAAUUAUAAAACAAACCAACUCCAAUCUAAGAGAUACAAAAACACAGUCAGGCAUAGACACAAAAAUGGGGGCAGAUGAAUUUCUCAGAACAGAUACAAUGAUAAGGACACACACACACAUACACACAGACACACACCUCUCUUCUGCCUAAUUCACAUGGCUGAGGUAGGCAAGGCUGGGGAGUUGCAAGCGGUAGGGGUUUGCCAAGUUUCCAGGAACACCGGAGUCUGGGUGUUGGGGUGGCUGCUGGAGCUUCUGGGCAGGUUGGGUGGGCUGAGGAGAGUACAGGGAGCAGCCUGGGGCUCACUAGCCUGAGUGAGAGGCCUGGCUGUACGACACCCAGCCUGCACCUCCUGGGACAGGGUAAGGCUCCUAAUCCCAGCUCCCCAGUUCAGGCAAGACUGAGGAGCCUGCCAAAGCAACUCUUCCCCAUCCCAGCAGUGGAGGGAGACAGCAGGGUCCACAGCUGGGGAGGAGCUUCCUGGCAACCACCUACGACUUCCAGGCUGAGGCCUUGUCAGCUGCCUACGGACCCCACUUAGGAAGCCAGGGCUGUGGUGGCUCAUACAGGGACCCUCUGUCCUUGUCCUCCUGAGAUACAGGCACAGCCACAGCCCUGGUGUGGGGCCUGGCCUGAGGCAAGGGGUGGAUGCAUGUCCUCCAUCAUCCCCACUGUCACUGUGCUUGCGCAGACCUCACCAUGUCAUCUCCUUAUGGGCCUCCCUGGCCUCACCUCACCCCUGCCCACCCGGCCGCCAGAGAGCUCUUUCUUGGACACAGACCUAACUCCUUAGAGGGCUAUUGGGUGGGUCUCUGUUCCCACCUUCAGAGUUCGCUAUCUGUGGUAGGCAUAAUAAUCAUCCCUCAAAGAUGUCCAUGUCCUAAUCCCUAGAAGCUGAGAAAAUGUUAUGUUCACCAAGGGGAAUUAAGAUUGCAGAUGAAAUCACAGUUGCUAAUCGGUAGACCUUAAAUAAGAUUAUCCCAGAUUAUCUGGGCAGGCCCAAUGCAGUAAGAAAUGUCCCUUCACUGUGGAGGAGGAGGGCAGAGGAGUCAGGGCAGGUGAUGUAAGAAAGACCUGAAGACAGAAGCAGGCCACCAGCCAAGGAGUGUGAGAGUCUCUAGAAACCAGAAAGGAAAAGACAAGGAAAAGCAUUCUCCCCAGUUGCCUCCAGAUGGGAACAUAGCCCUGCCAACAUCUUUUUUUUUUUUUUUUUUUGAGACUGAGUCUCGCUCUGUCGCCCGGGCUGGAGUGCAGUGGUGCGAUCUCGGCUCACUGCAAGCUCCGCCUCCCAGGUUCACGCCAUUCUCCUGCCUCAACCUCCCCGCCCGGCUAGUUUUUUGUAUUUUUAGUAGAGAUGGGGUUUCACUGUGUUAGCCAGGAUAGUCUCGAUCUCCUGACCUUGUGAUCCGCCCGUCUCAGCCUCCCAAAGUGCUGGGAUUACAGGCGUGAGCCACCGCGCCCGGCCUGCCCUGCCAACAUUUUGAUUUUAGCCUAGUGAGUCCUAUUUUGGUCUCUGAUCUCCAGAACUAUAAGAUAAUACAUUUGUGUUGUUUUAAGCCACUAUAUUUAUGCUAAGUUGUUAUAGCAACAAAGUAUUCUUAGCUCAACCAUUAGUGCUCACAAAGACUUAGCCUUGAAUUAGCUCCUCUAGUUAAAUCUAUUCCUGGCCGCCAAGAGACAGAGAAAGGUGGCCUCUGAGGGGGUCAGGUCUUACAGCUGAAGAAGGCUGUUGGGUCUGGAGUAUGGGUGGGCUGACCACUUAGAGAUAGGGAAGGGAGUCAGAAAUUACAUUUCCUAGUAAGUAGGAUGAGAGUGAUAAUGUGACAAUUGUCAGGCCCUGCACCAGGUGUUGGGCAAUGUGCAAACCCAGUCAUCCUUAUCCUUACCCUACAGAAACACCCACGCAAGUGUGCAAGCAUGUACGUCCAAGGUUGUUCUUACAGUAUUGUUUCUAUUAGCAAAACAUUAUAAAAAUCCAAGUACCCAUCAAUUGGGAAAUACAUAAAGAUUAUGAUACAGCCACAAAAAAUGGAAUAAUAGGCAGCCAUUACAAAAAUGUACUGACUUGGAAACUGCCCUCUAUACAUAGAGAAAAAACAGCAAGUUACAGAAUGGUCUCAUAAAACAAAAACAAAAACAAACAAACCAAAAAACACUUUUCCUCCUCAAGAAAACAAAAAUAAGAACAAAAAAACCUCCUAAAUUACACAUAUGCGUAUGUGUUUGUAUGAACCUAGGAAAAUGUCAGGAAGGAUGUGAUGGCCUCUGGGGGACAGGCUUGGAGGAAGAAGGAAGCUUAUGUUUUACUUCAUAUCCUUCUGUCCUGUUCCACCUUAUUUGAACAAGCAUGUGUUGCUUUUUAUUACAAUGUUAAAAGGAAAAAUCCUUAGACUAACUAAGUUCAACAGUUUACUUGACCAAUUAAAAUGAUUCAAAACAAAGAGAAACAAAAAACAAUUUGGGAAUCAGGCAGCCCCCCAGAACCAAAACAGGUUCAGAGAACUUUCAGAGAACUCAGGCCAACACCAUGAUCAGGCAACAUUUGUAGAUAGAGAGAGAACAGAAGUGAGAUACAGAGACAACUUAAUUGGUUACAGCUUAAUUGGUUGAUUAGUUCUACCUAAACGUCUUACCUUAUUCAACUCAGCUGACCUACUGUAGUUCAUUAAGUUCAGCUGUGUGACUCACUGAACCUCAACCAUUUGCAAGAAUAUAUUCCUAAAGUAAUUAGUUUCAUUAAGCGUGAUGGCUUCAUAUUGGUUUGGUCUGCUAGGCUCAGUAAAGGACACUAAUUCAAAUCAAUGGCCUCCUAUUUUAACACAUAAUAACUUUUUUAAUGUUAAGAUAACACAGGUUAAGAAAGCAAACUUGACUGUCCUGUUCUGUGACAAACAGCUGUUAUUUGCAAAAAGGACUCCCUGGGUUGAGGGAGACCAGAGCUCCACUUAGCAAGGCCACUCAGGAAACAGAUGGACCAACUUGAGUUCUUUUUCUGUGUGAGCUCAUCUGGGGAAUGAGACACUGUGGAUCUUCUGAGUGGAAAAGUGGAGUCAUUCAAGCCCUCCUGGCUUCUACAGAGCCUGAUCCUGGCUACUUACAGAAUGGCUGCACUUUAAACCCAAGGUGUUCUUUGCACCCUGUAGCCCCAGCCCAUAAAAGAGACAAACACUGGCAGAGAGAUGGUCCCAGGAGAGCAGCCGGGAGGAGGCACUGGAGUUCAGGGCUCCAGUCCCAGCUCUGCUCAUCUGGCUCCUAUGACGAGGGUUGUAUCCAGUGUGUGGACGUCCCCUCUCCUCAGGCUGGAAACCCUCUGAGGUCAGUGCAGAGCCUCGGAAUAGCGACAUUGACAUCUGUCUGGCACAUAAUGGCCUUCAAGGUGUCCUAAGUUUACAAAGCUCUUUCCCAGGCAUCUCUCAGUUGUCUCCCAUAACAAGCCUUGGGGCCCAGUAAAGCAGGCUGUAUUAACCGCAGUUUACGGAUGAGGGAACCAAGACUUAGAGACACAAAAGUGACAGGCCCCACUCCAAGUCACUCAACAAAUUGGUCACAAAGUUCAGCACAGGACCAUAUUAUCCCCUCUCCUUCAGCCAGAGCCUCAUUUUUGCCUCUUUUAUAUCUUCUGUUUCCCAGGUAGAUUUUGCUUGAUAAAAAGGGGUCUGCUGCUUUAAAAGGUUUGAAAGCUCCAGAAUAAUGUUUCCAAAUUCCCCGCGAAUACUUCUGUUCAGUAUUCAGGAAUGAGAAAUUGAAAUUUCUGGGAAUUCAUGAGCAUUCCUGAAAUUAUACAUUAAAUUUUUUUUUUUUUGGAGACAGGAUCUUACUCUGUCACCCAGGCUGGAGUACAGUGGUACGAUCAUAGCUCACUGCAGCCUCGAACUCCUGAGCUCAAGUGACCCUCCUUCCUCAGCCUCCCGAGUAGCUGAGACUAUAGGUACAUGCCUAUAGAGUGUGCCCCUAACAUCUUCAUGUUAGCCAUUAGGGUGCUCCUGGCUAUUUUGUUUUCUUCUUUUCUAGAGACAGAGUCUUACUAUGUGACCAGGCUGGUUUUGAACUCCUGGCCUCAAGCUAUCUUCCUGCUUCAGCCUUUCAAAGUGUUGGGAUGACAGGUGUGAGUCACUGCGCCUGGCUCAUAUUUUCUAUAACAUUAUAUUCACAUACUUUUAAAUAAUAAUGAAUGACCAGAAUAAUAAACAGUUAAUAAUUGUCAGUGACAAAUUGAUGCUAAAAGUUCCAGACUUUUUCCUUAAGGUUUAUUAUUAUUAUGAACCAAUAUGUUGUGACAAGAUUAUUUCAAUAACAUAAAAAUUAUCUCCACCUGAUAUAGGCACUGGAUAUAGAAAACAUUAAAAAGGAGGGAACAUUAUUGCAAAAUAAAUGCCAGAUAAAAAUCACUUAAAAAUGGAAAAAUAAUAGCACAAACAUUUAAUUUUAAAAGUUAUUUUUAAAAUGAACUUUUAAAACACAAAGCUUUAAUUGCUCUAUCUGAUAGUUUUGAUCUUUGUUUUGUGACAAAUAUUCUAGAUGUAGGAAACUUUUUUGUUUUUUCAUUUUUCAUUGAUGUUGGUUGAGUGUGCCCCUAACAUCUUCAGGUUAGCCAUUAGGGUACAUGUUGUUUUAUAGAAGCUCAUUUCCUUUUUAAAUGAUGCUUUAUUUUUAUUUUUACUUUUUGGUCUGCUUACUCUGGUCUUGAUUUUGCCAUUGAGAUCAAUAUUGCUCUUGCUAAUUCAGAUUUUAGAGCAAUUUCUGAUUUCCUUCUGGAGUGUUCUAUAACAGCAAUCACGUCUUCUUUUUGCAUCUCUUCUGUUAAAGUAUUUACAAAGAACUGUAGCCUAUAAUGAAUAUUCAACACGUGGAAAUGCCAGCAAUCAUUACUGGGAAGUGUUCAAAUAACUAACAUUCAGACUCACUAACAAGGUUCAUAGAAUCACUUGUUGGAAUUGCCAGUUUCAAGACUUAUUUUGCUUUCAAAAUUUGUUAUUUUUUUCCGACACUGCUCAUAGGACUUGUAUAAGUAUCCUAUGUGUACAAACUUACCAAUAUUUGUUUUAUUUGCAAAAAUGACUUACCAUUAGAAGCAGACCAGGUCACAAACACACACUUAUAACCAGUGUGUGCUGGUAAACUGACUCUCCUGGAGAAAAAAAAAAAAACCCUUAUAUGUAGGGUUUGCCAAAUUCUGAGGGGAGGCAUAAAUGUUCCCACAAUGGUCAAUGCCCAGCUACCGAGGGGAUGUCACUGAGAGCUGGGAAGAGCAGCAUACAACUGGCUCUUCUUGAGCCAGCGCUAGCCCACCACCACCUCUACCCUGGCAACAGCAGUCGGAAGACUGAUUAGAUGAUGGCCUUUUCUCUCCUCUACUCCCCAGUUCCAUUCAGAACUUAACUUUCCUAUGGGUGCCUCAGUAUUUUCUACUCUCGCUUUUGAUUUGGUGUCAGUGGAUUCCUUUGAACUAGUCACAUCUAGUUCAACAUGUUGAUUGCUAAGCUUUAAUUCUCACACAAAAACACUCUUACCAGGUUCCUAGAUGUCUUAACUUCUUUUUCUCAGGAAUUGGCAUUUGGAAAAACAGUAUUUCCGAGAAAUGCUGGGAAGGAAUUCCUGCAUAAAAACACAAAUCUGGCCGGGCACGGUGGCUCGUGCCUGUAUUCCCAGCACUUUGGGAGGCUGAGGCAGGUGGAUCAUGAGGUCAAGAGAUCAAGACCAUCCUGGCCAGCAUGGUGAAACCCCAUCUGUACUAAAAAUAUAAAAAUUAGCUGGGCGUGGUGGUGCGCGCCUGUAGUCCCAGCUACUCGGGAGGCUGAGGCAGGAGAAUCACUUGAACCCGGGAGAUGGAGGUUGCAGUGAGCCGAGAUUGUGCCACUGCACUCCAGCCUGGGCAACAGAGGGAGACUCCAUCUCAAACAAAGCAAAACAAAACACAACACAAAUCCAGGAAACCCAAGUAAAACCUAUUUGCUUGACUGAUCGUGAUCCUACUGGAUACAUUCUCCUGGGUCCCAAUUUUGGCCACCGCUCAUUUUCAUUGAUCUCAUUUUAAGGGGUUUGAGGUAUGGAGUCCUUAGGAUUUGGUGUUAAGUUUGGUGAUUUUUCAGAGAGGCCGCACCAGAGCUGCAUCGGUGAUCAUUUGACUUUAUGUCUGACCCUGUGCACAGGGGUCUACUUGUCUCCUAACCUCAGUUUUCCUCUUUUUCCUUAUUAGAAAAACAACAAUAACAUCAACACAGUCCCUCUUGGAACUAGGAAUGGCCAGUAGAAGUGGUGUGUGACUUCUGGGAAAUGUCCUUAAAUAGAGGCGGAAUACUCUUCUUUGUUUUUUCUCCUUUAUCUGGCCAGAAUGUAGAUAUAAUGGCUGGAGCUACAGAAGUCAGAUUGGACCAGAGUGGCCUUGGGAGUAGAAGCCCCAUUUGGGGGAACAAUAAGAUAAAAGGGGCCUGGGUUCCUGAUACUGUGGGAGCCCAUAUCAGUCCUAUACUGCCUUCUUCCAGGCUUUUAUACCAAAGCAAAACAGUCUUAUUUAAACCACUAUUGAUAUGUGGUUUUCUAUCACUCAUAACUGAAACAAAUUAAACAGCACACCAGUGCAUUGUAUUCUGUUACAUAGUUUAUGGGAGGCCAUUGUUUUGGACUAGCCUCCUACACUGGCCCUAGCAGAGCAGAUCAAACCAGAGCAGAGUCACCUGUGCUAACUGCCAAGUCAUCAAACCGGACUUUGAAAUGAGGCAGUUUUCCAAAAACGCAGGAGCUUCCAGUCACCCUGAAUCAGCACAAUAAAAAGUGCCCUCUGCUUUAACCCUAUAAGGAAAGCAACUUUGAAAUGACCAAUCUGCUUUUUGUUCCCUGUUUCUGCUUUCUUCAGCCCUCUUUUAUCCAUAAAGCCAAACUUCUCUGCCCACUUCACUGGAAUACUCAUUCUAUUUCGUAGAAUGAGGUGUUGCCUGAUUCUAGAAUCACAAAUAAAAGCCAAUUUGAUCAUUACAAAUAAUUUGUUGUAAUUUUGCCUUUGGGAAGUUCCUAGUGAAAGCAAAAGCUACUAGCAAGAAUCCUUGAAAGGUUUGUAAUGGAGGUGAAAAUGAAAGACUGUAGCAUUACCCAGUGACUCAGAGAGUGUGGGGGAGGCAGCUGCAUCUAGUGAUAAUGGAUGAUACAUUUGGAAUAGAAGAGGCUGUGGUUUCAUGCAUGCCUGUCUUCCCAUCUGCCAAGAAGGCUGAUGAAUAAGCUUUUAUACUCCUCUAAGUUGGUAAAAGAAGUUUUCAGAUUUUUAAUACUCAAAGGUCUUUUCACAAAUGACUAUGACCUUUUCUUUUCUUUUCGAGACAGGGUUUCACUCCCGUCGCCCAGGCUGGAAUGCAGUGGUGAAAUCUCGGCUCACUGCAACCUCUGCCUCCUGGGCUCAAAUGAUCCUCUCGCCUCAGCCUCCUGAGUAGCUGGGACUACAGGCAUGCAGCACUGCGCCCAGCUAAGUUUUGUAUUUUUUCUAGAGACGGAAUUUUGCCGUGUUGCCUAGGCUGCUCUGGAACUCCUGAGCUCAAGUGAUCCACCUGCCUUGGCCUCCUGAAGUGCUGGGAUUACAGGUCGGAGCCACUGCGCCUGGCCUCUAUGCCUGUGGUCUUUAGUUUGUAGGAACCAGACCACUCAAAGGCUGGAACGUACCUUAUUGCUCUGCCAGUGAAUGGUUUAGGAACUGGCUGAAGGAGCUGGGGAUUCAGUCUAGGAAGAACUUACAGGAGUUGGGAUUGGGUUUGAGAGCUGCUUUCACACAUCUAAGUAAAAAAGAUUUAGCCUUCCUCACAGAGGGCUCUAGGCCAAAACCAGAACCCAAAGGUGGAGGCUGCCAACUUUACCCUAAAUUAAAGAGAAACCUCCUACCCAUCAGAACUGGAUGGAGGUAGCUUUUUGAUAGCAACUCUCCACUGCUGGGAAUAUUUAAUCAAAGGAUGCAGAAGGAGUCAUUAACUGAGCAGCAGUUCCCAUAUACCAGCCUAUGUAUUGGUACCUACCUGUCUAUAACAUUUUCCAGGUCUCAGCCAGGCACGGUGGCUCAUGCUUGUAAUCCCAGCACUUUGGGAGGCUGAGGUGGAAGGAUCUCUUGAGCCCGGGAGUUACCAGCCCGGGCGACACAGGGAGACCCUGUCUCUACAAAUAAUUUAAAAAUUAGCCAGGCAUGAUGGUGCACACGUGUGUGGUCCCAGCUACUUGGAAGGCUGAGGAGGAGAAUCAAUUGAGCCCAGGAGGUCGAGGCUGCAGUGAGCUGUGAUUGUGCUACUGCACUCCAGCCUGGGUAACAAAGCAAGACCCUGUCUCAAAAAAAAAAAAAAAAAAAAAAAGAGAGAGAGAGAGAAAAAAAGGCAAUGUAGUACAUUUUAAAAAUAAAACUAAAUAUUUGCAAUUUGAAGUACAUUCUCUUUAUUCCAAGAUUAUGUUCUUUCUAUUUCAGGAGGUGUUAUAAUGUCUUUUUUUAGUAGUAGGUGGUAUUAGCUAUUGUUGUUUAACACCCUAAUUAGACAACAUAAAAUCUUGGCAAUCCUAUAUAAUUCCAUUAAAAUUUACACUGGCUAUAAGAUCUAGAAGUCUGGUAAUAUGGAUGAGAUGACACCUGGUUGUCUGAAUUGACCUUCCAAGGAUUAGUAGUUCAUUCGAGUGUCUACUAGAUGCCAUUUUUGUGUAUUUACAGCAACUAGAUAAUUUCAUGGUUCAAAUCAGAGAAACCAGUAAUGUGAUCCACGUGCUUAUGGUAACUUAAACUUUAUUGACUAUUCAUUUUUGACACAUAUAGCUACUUUUUGAUAGACAUGAAUUUUCUAUUUGCAUUUAAAAACAAAACUAAUUUUCAAAGUUCUAUUCUCAAAAUGGCAAUGAUGACCUUUCUAAAUGCUCUCUUUAAAUAAUCCUCCAAUAUUCUCAGAAAUUUAGUGUACCUACAGCAAACUAUUUCUCUUAGUAAAAGCCUUCUGUGAGCAACUUAACUGUCUGAUGUCUUUAUCCGUGUGAGCAGGGACUGGGUCCUGUCCUUUUUCUUUUUUUUUUUUGUUUGAGAUGGAGUCUCCCUCUGUUGCCAAGCUGGAGUGCAGUGGCAUGAUUUUGGCUCACUGCAACCUCCACCUCCAGGGUUCAAGUGAUUCUCCUGCCUCAGCCUCCCAAAGUAGCUGGGACUACAAGUAUGCGCCACCACGCCUGGCUAAUUUUUGUAUUUUUAGUAGAGACAGGGUUUCACCAUGUUGGCCAGGAUGGUCUCGAUCUCUUGACCUCAUGAUCCUCCUGCCUCGGCCUCCCAAAGUGCUGAAUUACAGGUGUGAGCCACCACGCCUGGCCUGGUCCUGUCCAUUUUUACAGAGCAGAGAGCAUCUAGCAUGCCACCACAUUAAUGUAAUGAUAAUAAUUUCCAUUUGUCUAGAGACUUAUGCUUUACAAGGCCCUUAUAGUUUACUUCCCCUUAAUGGUAGUUCAAGUAGCAGAGAAUGACCUUUUCAUUGUCCUUCUCUGUGAUAAGCCAAAGUGAAUGUAAUGUACAUUCUUCAUAGUGAAGGCUUUCUACCUCAUUCAUUUAUUCACAAAAUAUUUAUUGAGCAUGAUUAUGUGUUAAGCACUGAACUGUGCUCUGUGCUGCUGGGCACUGUGUGUUAGGUACAAACACGGCAGAUGGAGCCCCUUCCCCCAUGAAAUGAACAUUCUAAUGGGGCGUUAGUCAAUAAACAAAUAAAUAAAUAGAUUGUCAGGGGGUAAUGAGUGUUAUGGGGAAGAAUAAAGCAGUGGGAGCUGGGAAGCAAUGGGAGGAUGUCAAUCUUAGGGACAUGAGAAGGCACCCUCAUGCAGAGACUUGGGCAACGUGAAGGAUCGCCACUGUGUGACCAACUGGAGGAAGCACGUUCCAAGUCUUGUGGCAGAAAGGAGCUUGGCUGUUUGAGAAUCAGCAGUGAUAUCAGUGUGGCUGGAGGGAAGGGAAGGUGGGACGAGUGGGUGGGAGAUAAUUUCCAGAGGUGGACAGGAUGCAGAUUAUAUGGGAGUUUGGAUUUGAUUCUCAAGUGUGAUGGGACACUAUUGGAGGGUUUUGAGCUGGGGAGAGACAUGCCAUGAAAUGUGAAGUCUGGCCUGCAGGGAAGCAGGUACACCAACUGAAUGAGUUCAAUUUGGAGAUAUAUAUAUUUGAGAUGGAGUUUUGCUCUUGUUGCCCAGGCUGGAGUGCAAUGGCACGAUCUCAGCUCACCGCAACCUCCGCCUCCUGGAUUCAAGCAAUUCUCCUGCCUCAGCCUCCCGAGUAGCUGGGAUUACAGGUGUGUGCCACUACGCUCGGCUAAUUUUGUAUUUUUUUAGUAGAGAUGGGGUUUCUUCAUGUUGGUCAGGCUGGUCUCGAACUCCCAACCUCAGGUGAUCCGCCCACCUCGGCCUCCCAAAGCGCUGGGAUUACAGGUGUGAGCCACCGUGCCCGGCCCAAUUUGGAUAUAUUUUAAAGGACUACCUGAUGCGUUAAAUGUAGAAGAUGGGGGAAUGUAGAAUGCUCCACAGAGUUUUGUCCUGAGCAGCCAGGAGAAAACAAGAUGGAACCCAGUGACUGGCCACCAUGGACACAUGCAAGGGAGAAGGAGAAGUCCCCAGUAGGAAAAGGAAUGUGUACAAUGAAAUGUAAUGAUGUAUAAUACAUUGGCUGUUUUUGAAUUCCAACCAUGGAUUUCCCAGCUACUGGCAGUGAAACUGAUCUUUUCUGUACGUACUCAAGUCAACACUCAAGAAUUUCAACUUACCUUUAGCGAAAGCAAAUAUUUAUAUUUAAAAAGAAAACAUUUGAAUUCAGAAUUCAUUAAGAUAAAAAAGUUAGCAAACUACAGAUGCCUUGUUAGUUGACAGUCCUAAUGGCGACGUCUAGGUCAGAUAACUUAUAUUGACUUAAAACAGCAUUGUCUUGACUUUCCACAGUCGUAUUUGUGAUUAUGGAAAUAAUUUUAAAAAGACUAGUCUCUUUAAUUUACAUUUUCACAAAACGCUGUUGAAAGAGCAAAUGUCUGCUCAGUUGUUUUUCCUUUGCUUAAAAAAAAAAAAAGUGCCAGGAAUCCCACCCCACCCUGCUGCUGGGUAACAGUCAAUCAUUUAUUAUUCCUGGAUCAAACACAAGCAUUCAUGCCUAUGAAAACGUUUGGCAAUGAAUGGGAUCUUGGUCUCUACUAAAAACAAAAAAUGGCUAAAAGGAGACUUCAAUUUAUGUUCAAAUUCUAUGGCUGAAUUCCUAUAAUUCCUAACUGGUGAAAAUAUUGGCAAGCUACAAGAUUUUACUUAGAGUCAGAUUUACUUCUUUGGUGUAUGCCCAGAGGUGUUAUUGAAAGCUAUUUGUGGCCAGCUUUCCAGGAGACCAAAUGGGCCUUAAAUGGAAUGAAUAUUGGCCCUGCAGUACAGUGCACAAGGAGAAGGAGGAGAAUUGGACACUUUUAUUAAAAAAAAAACAAAACUCAUUGGUUAUACUUAACUAAUUUCUACAUAGAAGUUUUAGUAUUUGGCAAAGCAAAAAGUCAUAUCUCAGAAUCACCAAACUUACUAUAUCUGAACCCUUUCUGUUGUAUUUUGGUAUUAAUCCAGGAGUUAUAUAUAUUAUUAAAAUCCUCAUAUAAUCAUGUAAUCAGCCUCACUACCUAUUAAUACAAUGACUUUCAAUCCAGACUCAACAGUUUUCCCUUCCUCAAGCCUAAUCAGCCUGAUAUGGUUUGGAUGUUUUGUCCUUUCCAAAUCCCAGGUUGAAAUGUGAUCACCAAUGUUGGAGGUGGGGCCUAGUGGGAGGUGUUUGGGUCAUAGGGGCAGAUCCCUUAUGAACGGCUUCAUGCCAUCCCCAUGGUAAUGAGUGAGUUCUCACUGUGUCAGUUCACGUGAGAGCUGGUUUAAAGAGCCUGACACCUCCAUCCCCUCUCUCUCACUCCCUGUCCUGCCAGGUGACACGCCUGUCCCCCUUUGUCUUCUGCCAUGAGUGGAAACUUCCUGAGGCCUCACCAGAAGCUGAGCAGAUGCUGGUACCAAACUUGUACAGCCUGUAGAACCACAAGGCAAAUAAAUCUCUUUUUGAAAAUAGAUUACCCAGUCUCAGAUAUUCCUUUAUGGCAAUGCAAAAUGGACUAACACACAGCCCUAAACCUAAUUAAACCCCUAGAAACCAUUACAUCCUCCAAAGUAAUCAAUUCCCCCAAAACUAAUCAUACCCCUUCCCCUAAGCACUCCCAAUCACCAAGUUAACCACUAGCCAUGAUCCACCAAUCAUCCAUGAAACAAAUGUCAUUGUGGCAGAGACCACUAAUCUUUCAAUAUCCAUUUUUCACUUCCUCAUUUCACCAAUAAAACCCUCUACAUUUUAGCUGAGCACAUGACCUCACAGACAGAUAUGAUAUCUCCUGCAAUCCUUUGCAUCUGGGUAAGGCCAUAUGACUAACUUCUGGGUAAUGAGAUGUUUGCAAAAACAAUGCGUUCAACUUCCAAGUCAAGUCCUUAGGAAAAACUAUCCAUUCUUUCUCUGUCCCCCUUUCUUUGGGCUGGACGGUUUGAAGGGAAGUGGUGAGCCGGAUUUAAUCAUUUGCAUGAGGACAACACUAUAGGGUAAGGUGGAGCAGGAAGAAAGAAUGGGGCACCCAAGUCUUCUUGGGGAGCAGUGCAGCCUACAUGCCUUGGACUGUCUACUUUGGCCCCAGAUGUAAUGUAACAAGACUACGCAUCUUAGCAAGAUGAAAAAUUGUUUAAAAAAUUAAGUUUCCACUU
Molecule: long non-coding RNA, 23467 nt
Filed under: Homo sapiens (human)
Lineage: Eukaryota; Metazoa; Chordata; Mammalia; Primates; Hominidae
Description: HSALNT0351800
Source: RNAcentral